UGCGCGCGGCCGAGUGCACCCGUGCGAGCACAGGAUGAUCGGCCACGCGCAGGCCAGCAUCGGUUUGGGUGGCUGGAUAAAGGCCUUGGGAAUGUGGCUCUCUCCGGGGAGUGUUAUAGCCCAAGGUGCCAUGCAGCCCACCUGGACCGAGGACCGCGCUCCGGCUAGGAUGCUGGCGUAAUGGUUGUAAGCGA
Molecule: ribosomal RNA, 194 nt
Filed under: Leotiomycetes sp.
Lineage: Eukaryota; Fungi; Ascomycota; Leotiomycetes
Description: partial large subunit ribosomal RNA
Source: RNAcentral